UUAAGCGACUAAGCGUACACGGUGGAUGCCCUGGCAGUCAGAGGCGAUGAAGGACGUGCUAAUCUGCGAUAAGCGUCGGUAAGGUGAUAUGAACCGUUAUAACCGGCGAUUUCCGAAUGGGGAAACCCAGUGUGUUUCGACACACUAUCAUUAACUGAAUCCAUAGGUUAAUGAGGCGAACCGGGGGAACUGAAACAUCUAAGUACCCCGAGGAAAAGAAAUCAACCGAGAUUCCCCCAGUAGCGGCGAGCGAACGGGGAGGAGCCCAGAGCCUGAAUCAGUGUGUGUGUUAGUGGAAGCGUCUGGAAAGGCGCGCGAUACAGGGUGACAGCCCCGUACACAAAAAUGCACAUGCUGUGAGCUCGAUGAGUAGGGCGGGACACGUGGUAUCCUGUCUGAAUAUGGGGGGACCAUCCUCCAAGGCUAAAUACUCCUGACUGACCGAUAGUGAACCAGUACCGUGAGGGAAAGGCGAAAAGAACCCCGGCGAGGGGAGUGAAAAAGAACCUGAAACCGUGUACGUACAAGCAGUGGGAGCACGCUUAGGCGUGUGACUGCGUACCUUUUGUAUAAUGGGUCAGCGACUUAUAUUCUGUAGCAAGGUUAACCGAAUAGAGGAGCCGAAGGGAAACCGAGUCUUAACUGGGCGUUAAGUUGCAGGGUAUAGACCCGAAACCCGGUGAUCUAGCCAUGGGCAGGUUGAAGGUUGGGUAACACUAACUGGAGGACCGAACCGACUAAUGUUGAAAAAUUAGCGGAUGACUUGUGGCUGGGGGUGAAAGGCCAAUCAAACCGGGAGAUAGCUGGUUCUCCCCGAAAGCUAUUUAGGUAGCGCCUCGUGAAUUCAUCUCCGGGGGUAGAGCACUGUUUCGGCAAGGGGGUCAUCCCGACUUACCAACCCGAUGCAAACUGCGAAUACCGGAGAAUGUUAUCACGGGAGACACACGGCGGGUGCUAACGUCCGUCGUGAAGAGGGAAACAACCCAGACCGCCAGCUAAGGUCCCAAAGUCAUGGUUAAGUGGGAAACGAUGUGGGAAGGCCCAGACAGCCAGGAUGUUGGCUUAGAAGCAGCCAUCAUUUAAAGAAAGCGUAAUAGCUCACUGGUCGAGUCGGCCUGCGCGGAAGAUGUAACGGGGCUAAACCAUGCACCGAAGCUGCGGCAGCGACGCUUAUGCGUUGUUGGGUAGGGGAGCGUUCUGUAAGCCUGUGAAGGUGUGCUGUGAGGCAUGCUGGAGGUAUCAGAAGUGCGAAUGCUGACAUAAGUAACGAUAAAGCGGGUGAAAAGCCCGCUCGCCGGAAGACCAAGGGUUCCUGUCCAACGUUAAUCGGGGCAGGGUGAGUCGACCCCUAAGGCGAGGCCGAAAGGCGUAGUCGAUGGGAAACAGGUUAAUAUUCCUGUACUUGGUGUUACUGCGAAGGGGGGACGGAGAAGGCUAUGUUGGCCGGGCGACGGUUGUCCCGGUUUAAGCGUGUAGGCUGGUUUUCCAGGCAAAUCCGGAAAAUCAAGGCUGAGGCGUGAUGACGAGGCACUACGGUGCUGAAGCAACAAAUGCCCUGCUUCCAGGAAAAGCCUCUAAGCAUCAGGUAACAUCAAAUCGUACCCCAAACCGACACAGGUGGUCAGGUAGAGAAUACCAAGGCGCUUGAGAGAACUCGGGUGAAGGAACUAGGCAAAAUGGUGCCGUAACUUCGGGAGAAGGCACGCUGAUAUGUAGGUGAAGUCCCUCGCGGAUGGAGCUGAAAUCAGUCGAAGAUACCAGCUGGCUGCAACUGUUUAUUAAAAACACAGCACUGUGCAAACACGAAAGUGGACGUAUACGGUGUGACGCCUGCCCGGUGCCGGAAGGUUAAUUGAUGGGGUCAGCGCAAGCGAAGCUCUUGAUCGAAGCCCCGGUAAACGGCGGCCGUAACUAUAACGGUCCUAAGGUAGCGAAAUUCCUUGUCGGGUAAGUUCCGACCUGCACGAAUGGCGUAAUGAUGGCCAGGCUGUCUCCACCCGAGACUCAGUGAAAUUGAACUCGCUGUGAAGAUGCAGUGUACCCGCGGCAAGACGGAAAGACCCCGUGAACCUUUACUAUAGCUUGACACUGAACAUUGAGCCUUGAUGUGUAGGAUAGGUGGGAGGCUUAGAAGUGUGGACGCCAGUCUGCAUGGAGCCGACCUUGAAAUACCACCCUUUAAUGUUUGAUGUUCUAACGUUGACCCGUAAUCCGGGUUGCGGACAGUGUCUGGUGGGUAGUUUGACUGGGGCGGUCUCCUCCUAAAGAGUAACGGAGGAGCACGAAGGUUGGCUAAUCCUGGUCGGACAUCAGGAGGUUAGUGCAAUGGCAUAAGCCAGCUUGACUGCGAGCGUGACGGCGCGAGCAGGUGCGAAAGCAGGUCAUAGUGAUCCGGUGGUUCUGAAUGGAAGGGCCAUCGCUCAACGGAUAAAAGGUACUCCGGGGAUAACAGGCUGAUACCGCCCAAGAGUUCAUAUCGACGGCGGUGUUUGGCACCUCGAUGUCGGCUCAUCACAUCCUGGGGCUGAAGUAGGUCCCAAGGGUAUGGCUGUUCGCCAUUUAAAGUGGUACGCGAGCUGGGUUUAGAACGUCGUGAGACAGUUCGGUCCCUAUCUGCCGUGGGCGCUGGAGAACUGAGGGGGGCUGCUCCUAGUACGAGAGGACCGGAGUGGACGCAUCACUGGUGUUCGGGUUGUCAUGCCAAUGGCACUGCCCGGUAGCUAAAUGCGGAAGAGAUAAGUGCUGAAAGCAUCUAAGCACGAAACUUGCCCCGAGAUGAGUUCUCCCUGACUCUUUGAGGGUCCUGAAGGAACGUUGAAGACGACGACGUUGAUAGGCCGGGUGUGUAAGCGCAGCGAUGCGUUGAGCUAACCGGUACUAAUGAACCGUGAGGCUUAACCUU
RNAcentral lists this ribosomal RNA (2902 nucleotides) under Escherichia coli KOEGE 131 (358a). RNAcentral describes it as "bacterial LSU rRNA". It matches the Rfam family "Bacterial large subunit ribosomal RNA". Lineage: Bacteria; Pseudomonadati; Pseudomonadota; Gammaproteobacteria; Enterobacterales; Enterobacteriaceae. The record is from RNAcentral.